Molecule: ribosomal RNA, 1450 nt
Filed under: uncultured organism
Description: 16S ribosomal RNA
Rfam family: Bacterial small subunit ribosomal RNA
Source: RNAcentral
GAUUGAACGCUGGCGGCAGGCCUAACACAUGCAAGUCGAGCGGUAGCACAGAGAGCUUGCUCUCGGGUGACGAGCGGCGGACGGGUGAGUAAUGUCUGGGAAACUGCCUGAUGGAGGGGGAUAACUACUGGAAACGGUAGCUAAUACCGCAUAACGUCGCAAGACCAAAGUGGGGGACCUUCGGGCCUCAUGCCAUCAGAUGUGCCCAGAUGGGAUUAGCUAGUAGGUGGGGUAACGGCUCACCUAGGCGACGAUCCCUAGCUGGUCUGAGAGGAUGACCAGCCACACUGGAACUGAGACACGGUCCAGACUCCUACGGGAGGCAGCAGUGGGGAAUAUUGCACAAUGGGCGCAAGCCUGAUGCAGCCAUGCCGCGUGUGUGAAGAAGGCCUUCGGGUUGUAAAGCACUUUCAGCGGGGAGGAAGGCGGUGAGGUUAAUAACCUCAUCGAUUGACGUUACCCGCAGAAGAAGCACCGGCUAACUCCGUGCCAGCAGCCGCGGUAAUACGGAGGGUGCAGGCGUUAAUCGGAAUUACUGGGCGUAAAGCGCACGCAGGCGGUCUGUCAAGUCGGAUGUGAAAUCCCCGGGCUCAACCUGGGAACUGCAUUCGAAACUGGCAGGCUAGAGUCUUGUAGAGGGGGGUAGAAUUCCAGGUGUAGCGGUGAAAUGCGUAGAGAUCUGGAGGAAUACCGGUGGCGAAGGCGGCCCCCUGGACAAAGACUGACGCUCAGGUGCGAAAGCGUGGGGAGCAAACAGGAUUAGAUACCCUGGUAGUCCACGCCGUAAACGAUGUCGAUUUGGAGGUUGUGCCCUUGAGGCGUGGCUUCCGGAGCUAACGCGUUAAAUCGACCGCCUGGGGAGUACGGCCGCAAGGUUAAAACUCAAAUGAAUUGACGGGGGCCCGCACAAGCGGUGGAGCAUGUGGUUUAAUUCGAUGCAACGCGAAGAACCUUACCUGGUCUUGACAUCCACAGAACUUUCCAGAGAUGGAUUGGUGCCUUCGGGAACUGUGAGACAGGUGCUGCAUGGCUGUCGUCAGCUCGUGUUGUGAAAUGUUGGGUUAAGUCCCGCAACGAGCGCAACCCUUAUCCUUUGUUGCCAGCGGUUAGGCCGGGAACUCAAAGGAGACUGCCAGUGAUAAACUGGAGGAAGGUGGGGAUGACGUCAAGUCAUCAUGGCCCUUACGACCAGGGCUACACACGUGCUACAAUGGCAUAUACAAAGAGAAGCGACCUCGCGAGAGCAAGCGGACCUCAUAAAGUAUGUCGUAGUCCGGAUUGGAGUCUGCAACUCGACUCCAUGAAGUCGGAAUCGCUAGUAAUCGUAGAUCAGAAUGCUACGGUGAAUACGUUCCCGGGCCUUGUACACACCGCCCGUCACACCAUGGGAGUGGGUUGCAAAAGAAGUAGGUAGCUUAACCUUCGGGAGGGCGCUUACCACUUUGUGAUU